AGAGUUUGAUCCUGGCUCAGAAUCAACGCUGGCGGCGUGCCUUACACAUGCAAUUCGAGUGCGAAAGUCCCGAAAGGGAUGAGUAGAGUGGCAAACGGGUGAGUAUCACGUGGGUGACCUGCCCUAGAGCGGGGGAUAACGUCCCGAAAGGGACGCUAAUACCGCAUAACAUCCUGCCUAUGAAGAGGCGGUGAUCAAAGCUGGGGAUGGCAAGACCUAGCACUCGAAGAGGGGCCCGCGUCCGAUUAGCUAGUUGGUGGGGUAAUGGCCCACCAAGGCAACGUUCGGUAGCCGGCGUGAGAGGGCGGACGCCCACACUGGGACUGAGACACGGCCCAGACUCCUACGGGAGGCAGCAGUGGGGAAUAUUGGACAAUGGGGGCAACCCUGAUCCAGCAAUGCCGCGUGGGCGAUGAAGGCCUUCGGGUUGUAAAGCCCUUUUGCACGCGACGAUGAUGACGGUAGCGUGAGAAGAAGCCCCGGCUUACUUCGUGCCAGCAGCCGCGGUAAU
This 511-nucleotide ribosomal RNA is filed under the name uncultured soil bacterium. RNAcentral describes it as "bacterial SSU rRNA". It matches the Rfam family "Bacterial small subunit ribosomal RNA", at positions 8 to 524 of the family's 1533-position model. The record is from RNAcentral.